This is a non-coding RNA of Macaca mulatta (Rhesus monkey), 1355 nucleotides long. The record is from RefSeq and is a predicted model, not a curated record. NCBI's taxonomy places the organism in Eukaryota, Metazoa, Chordata, Mammalia, Primates, Cercopithecidae.
UUUAUAGAAUCUCCUGUAGAAUUAACAGUGGACUAACAACGACAAUAAAAAGUCUGAAAGUUAGUUCAAAAUGGGAAAAAUCAUAAAAGCAAAGGUCAUGACUCACUACUCACCUAACUGCUUCCAGCCUCCCUCCUGACCCAAAAUGACAGAUUAGCCUCGUCCCCAGCAACCUGGCAGCACGUGAAUGGAAGCAUAGCACAGCAAGUCUCUCCCUUUCGAUAGAUUAGAUGUCAAGAAUAAAGAGUAAUAUGAUAAUAGCAAGAAGUACCAAAAUAGACUACUGGAGACUGAGGAGAAUUUCUUAAAAGACAAUAAAAUGGAGAAGUCACUUCGAGGUGAAAGUACUCGCAUUUAUUUUAUGGAAGAAAAGAAAAACAGGAAAGAAAUUUAAAUACAACAAAAAAAACUAAUACAUCAAACAUGCCUGAAGUUCAGCCCUGCAUGUAGCCUGUGCUCAAACUGAGAUUCCUACUACACAAAAAUGAGCAAUUAAAAUACAGUGUGAUAGACUCCCACUUCUAGCCAACUGGUACCAGACUUGCCUUCCUGCCAUAAAUAACUGGAAAAUGGACCAGAUAUAUUAAACAGCUCUUUUCAGGCAUUGGACAGCUGGCAUCUCAGCAAUGUGAUCCUUUGGAGAAGGGAAACAAAUGAGGUGAGUCUUAUGUUUGUUCCAGCUUUCUUUUGUAGGCAUUUUCUGUACUGUGGUAGAGAAAGGGGAAUCUAAGCAAAGUAUAGUAGACUCUUUCACUUGAAGAGACAGAGAUUAGAGUUUGAGUAAUCUGAGGUGGUUGAAAUCUGGAAUCUACAUAGAAAAAGAGUCCUAGAAAUAUGUGUAUAGGCCUUUGAGUUUUUAGCUGACUACUAAACUACGUAUGUAUAGAGUAAAACUCAAUGAUGUAGAACAAAGAGAAACUUGAAGUUGUAAGCUGAGCAAUUUGCAGAGCUCAUGCAUUUCUGUGAGACAUUUGAGUCCCAAUCAUGCAAAGCGGAGGGUGAACCACAGAGCACUCAGUAGACAUCCCAGAAUGGUGGUAGGGCUAAAGCAGACUUAGAGAAAAAUCUACUCUAGUCCCACCCUAAAAAAGCUUAUGAAGGGGUCUCUAAAUAAUUAAGCCAACCUGCAAGUUAUAUAAGUGUCUGUUAGAACAAAGCCCAACAUUAUUUUUAAAAAAUUAAUGAACACCUUCAUUAUCACUCAUUCUGUAUCUUACAUCUUCAGAAUGUAUUUAUCUUACAAUAUAUAAACACCUUGACCAAUAUCUUCCCAUUUCUCCCAACUCCCUUCCCCCGCACCAGCCUUUGGCAACCACCAUUCUACUCUCUGCUUCUGUGAUUCUGAGUUUGUUUGA